UGGUGGAGUGAUUUGUCUGGUUAAUUCCGAUAACGAACGAGACCUUAACCUGCUAACUAGUCCUGAGGGUUAUUACCUUCUGUGACUUCUUAGAGGGACUGUGUGGUAAAACCACAAGGAAGUUUAAGGCAAUAACA
RNAcentral lists this ribosomal RNA (137 nucleotides) under uncultured eukaryote. Its description in RNAcentral is "partial 18S ribosomal RNA". It matches the Rfam family "Eukaryotic small subunit ribosomal RNA", at positions 1299 to 1458 of the family's 1831-position model. The record is from RNAcentral.